UGGCCCUAUGGCGCAACGGUAGCGCGUUUGACUCCAGAUCAAAAGGUUAUCCGUUCAAAUCGGGUUGGGGUCAU
This 74-nucleotide transfer RNA is filed under the name Ceratocystis platani. RNAcentral's name for it is "tRNA-Trp". It matches the Rfam family "tRNA". From Rfam's summary of the family: Transfer RNA (tRNA) molecules are approximately 80 nucleotides in length. Their secondary structure includes four short double-helical elements and three loops (D, anti-codon, and T loops). Further hydrogen bonds mediate the characteristic L-shaped molecular structure. tRNAs have two regions of fundamental functional importance: the anti-codon, which is responsible for specific mRNA codon recognition, and the 3' end, to which the tRNAs corresponding amino acid is attached (by aminoacyl-tRNA synthetases). tRNAs cope with the degeneracy of the genetic code in two manners: having more than one tRNA (with a specific anti-codon) for a particular amino acid; and 'wobble' base-pairing, i.e. permitting non-standard base-pairing at the 3rd anti-codon position. The record is from RNAcentral. Lineage: Eukaryota; Fungi; Ascomycota; Sordariomycetes; Microascales; Ceratocystidaceae.